RNAcentral lists this ribosomal RNA (523 nucleotides) under uncultured bacterium. RNAcentral's name for it is "partial 16S ribosomal RNA". It matches the Rfam family "Bacterial small subunit ribosomal RNA", at positions 28 to 523 of the family's 1533-position model. The record is from RNAcentral.
GACGAACGCUGGCGGCGUGCCUAAUACAUGCAAGUCGAGCGCAGGAAACUGACGGAACUCUUCGGAGGGAAGGCAGUGGAAUGAGCGGCGGACGGGUGAGUAACACGUAAGGAACCUGCCUCAAGGAUUGGGAUAACUCCGAGAAAUCGGAGCUAAUACCGGAUAGUUCGACGGACCGCAUGGUCCGUUGAUGAAAGGCGCUCCGGCGUCACCUUGAGAUGGCCUUGCGGUGCAUUAGCUAGUUGGUGGGGUAACGGCUCACCAAGGCGACGAUGCAUAGCCGACCUGGGAGGGUGAUCGGCCACACUGGGACUGAGACACGGCCAGACUCCUACGGGAGGCAGCAGUAGGGAAUCUUCCACAAUGGACGAAAGUCUGAUGGAGCAACGCCGCGUGAGUGAUGAAGGUUUUCGGAUCGUAAAACUCUGUUGUAAGGGAAGAACACGUACGAGAGGAAAUGCUCGUACCUUGACGGUACCUUACGAGAAAGCCACGGCUAACUACGUGCCAGCCGCCGCAGUAA